RNAcentral lists this ribosomal RNA (1201 nucleotides) under Buchananella hordeovulneris. RNAcentral's name for it is "bacterial SSU rRNA". It matches the Rfam family "Bacterial small subunit ribosomal RNA", at positions 249 to 1444 of the family's 1533-position model. The record is from RNAcentral. Lineage: Bacteria; Bacillati; Actinomycetota; Actinomycetes; Actinomycetales; Actinomycetaceae.
UUGGUGGGGUAAUGGCCUACCAAGGCUUUGACGGGUAGCCGGCCUGAGAGGGUGACCGGCCACACUGGGACUGAGAUACGGCCCAGACUCCUACGGGAGGCAGCAGUGGGGAAUAUUGCACAAUGGGCGCAAGCCUGAUGCAGCGACGCCGCGUGAGGGAUGACGGCCUUCGGGUUGUAAACCUCUUUCAGUAGGGACGCAGGCCUCAGUUUUUGUUGGGGUUGACUUUACUUACAGAAGAAGCGCCGGCUAACUACGUGCCAGCAGCCGCGGUAAUACGUAGGGCGCCAGCGUUGUCCGGAAUUAUUGGGCGUAAAGAGCUCGUAGGCGGUUUGUCGCGUCUGUCGUGAAAACCCACAGCUUAACUGUGGGCUUGCGGUGGGUACGGGCAGGCUUGAGUGCGGUAGGGGAGACUGGAAUUCCUGGUGUAGCGGUGGAAUGCACAGAUAUCAGGAGGAACACCGGUGGCGAAGGCGGGUCUCUGGGCCGUUACUGACGCUGAGGAGCGAAAGCAUGGGGAGCGAACAGGAUUAGAUACCCUGGUAGUCCAUGCCGUAAACGUUGGGCACUAGGUGUGGGGAAUGUUUCCACGUUUUCUGCGCCGUAGCUAACGCAUUAAGUGCCCCGCCUGGGGAGUACGGCCGCAAGGCUAAAACUCAAAGGAAUUGACGGGGGCCCGCACCAGCGGCGGAGCAUGCGGAUUAAUUCGAUGCAACGCGAAGAACCUUACCAAGGCUUGACAUACAUCCAGAGCGUGCAGAGAUGUGCGUGCAUUUGGUUGGGGGUGUACAGGUGGUGCAUGGUUGUCGUCAGCUCGUGUCGUGAGAUGUUGGAGUUAAGUCCCGCAACGAGCGCAACCCUUGUCUCAUGUUGCCAGCACGUUAUGGUGGGGACUCGUGAGAGACUGCCGGGGUUAACUCGGAGGAAGGUGGGGAUGACGUCAAAUCAUCAUGCCCCUUAUGUCUUGGGCUUCACGCAUGCUACAAUGGCUAGUACAGAGGGUUGCGAUAUCGUGAGGUUGAGCUAAUCCCUUAAAGCUGGUCUCAGUUCGGAUUGGGGUCUGCAACUCGACCCCAUGAAGUCGGAGUCGCUAGUAAUCGCAGAUCAGCAACGCUGCGGUGAAUACGUUCUCGGGCCUUGUACACACCGCCCGUCACGUCACGAAAGUUGGUAACACCCGAAGCUCAUGGCCUAACCGUUU